Molecule: ribosomal RNA, 115 nt
Filed under: uncultured bacterium
Lineage: Bacteria
Description: partial 16S ribosomal RNA
Rfam family: Bacterial small subunit ribosomal RNA
Source: RNAcentral
GCGACGCCGCGUGAGUGAAGAAGUAUUUCGGUAUGUAAAGCUCUAUCAGCAGGGAAGAAAAUGACGGUACCUGACUAAGAAGCCCCGGCUAACUACGUGCCAGCAGCCGCGGUAA